CUGAGUACCGGGUCUCUCAGGCCCUUACUCCCACCCUUUGUGUACCUUACCAAAUUUCAGUUGCUUUGGUGGGACUCUAACAGCCCCCCCCUCGGGGGGGUAGAGCCCACCAUUGGAACUUUUUUAAACUCUUGAUAAUUGAGUUGUCUGAGAACAAAAACAAAUAAAUUA
This 171-nucleotide unclassified non-coding RNA is filed under the name uncultured fungus. RNAcentral describes it as "sequence contains ITS1, 5.8S rRNA gene". RNAcentral also lists the same sequence under 1 other name. The record is from RNAcentral. Lineage: Eukaryota; Fungi.